UCCCACAUGUUUCCACAAAGGGCCAGGACUUGGUUUGGCUUAAGUCAUGUGGCUAUUCCUGACGUCAGUCACUGUGGCCAGGUGGUAAGGGACUCGGGGUGGAAAAGUGGUGGCUUGCUGAGGGGAAGAUUCCAGAUGAACCGAAUGCUGGGCUGGGACUAGGGCAGCAACAUCGUGGGGACUCCCCAGGGCGGAGGGAAGAGAGGACUUUCACUUCAGCAGGGCACCCUGUGAACACCCAUCCCAGCUGCCAUCUGCAAAUAGCCGGGCUUCCCAGGAACUGGAUGACUUCACCAGGGCUCAGUGACCCCGUCACUGCUCAGUGGUUAGUGGAAGCUGGGGCAGGUGCCCAGCCCUCAUCCUGCCAGGCCCCCUGCUGCCCCCAAGCUUUGUGCUUCUGAUUCUCUGUUCCUUGAACAUACACAUCUUUCCAGCAAGCGGACUCAAACUUUGGGAGUGGGCAGGGAGUAUAAAUAAUCAACAAGUGAGUACUGGGGUCAGCAAACCUUCCCAGGGCUUUGCAGGAUGUGACCCGGGGGACAGCAGCUCCUGGAUUUUUCAGGUGGCCCAAGUCCCACACAGGCUAUGGUUCAAAUGCCUGCUCUGUCACUUCCAGCUGUGUGACCUUAAACAUGGCCUGUGGUUUCUCUGGGCCUCAGUUUCCUUGUCUGUAAAAUGGGGAUAAUACCCUGGCCAGAGCUGUCAUGAUGAUGUCAACCAUGGAUGGAAAGCAGUCACCAGGGGUGCCUGGGUGGCUCUGUGGGUUAAGUGUCCGACACUUGAUUUUGGCUCAGGUCAUGAUCUUAGGGCCAUGGGAUCAAGCCCCACGUCCGGCUCUGCGCUCCGGUUGUAAAGUCUGCUUGAGAUUCUCUGUCUCCCUCUCUUCCUCUCUGCCCCUCCCCCUGCCCACACUCUCUCUCUCAAAAUAGAUGAAAAUAAAAUCAGGAAGGAAAGAAGGAAGGAAGUCACCAGCAAAUUCCUUCUUUCCCUCUUUUCCCAGAGUCCCUGGCCAGCUCUCCCUUGUCCCAUCUCCAGGGUCUGCUGCAGACGGCAGAGAAGCCCAGGCUGGGAACCCUGCUUAGAUCCUAGACACCGAGAGGAGGGACUGUCACCUUGGCCUUUGAGGGAGCCUCUCCACUCCCCAAAUGGCAUUCCCUCAUGUUGUCUUUGGUGUUGGUUCCCAUAAGAGCUCUGGGCCUUGUUUGGAGGCUAAUGGUGGGGGGUGGGGGAGGGCGGCCAGGCAGGGUCACAAGCCAGAGUCUGGAGAGGCUUAGUGCGGUGGGAUAUAUGAGCCCAGCUCAGCGUGGCCAGUGUCCCCCAAGCAAGAGACAAGAGAGCAUGUGUAUUGGCUGACCCAUCCCAAGUACUGUACCAAGGGGGUCAAGAACUUUGGCAAGGCAGCUUGGCCGUAAGUCAAGGUCAGAAGACUCGAGACUGCCCACCUGGUCUUCCUGGGAUGGCGCCCCGAGUCGGGCUUUCUGCUUGGCGAGGAGUCUGCGUGGUCUUCCCCUCUGUCUUCCACAUCCCCACCCUCUGGCUCAUGCUCUGUCUCUCUCUCAAAUAAAUAAAAUCUUUUUUUAAAAGUAUUAAAAAGAUCCAUAUCCAACACCAGAGAUGGAUAAUCCAGGAGGGGCAGAUGGAGCAAGGUGGUCCGAACACACCAGCUUCUAGUUGCAAGAUAACGAAGUACUGAGGACGACGACGUAAGGGGAGACCCUCCAGGCCCAGAGCCAACAGUGCCUCGAGAGGUAUAGGGAAGUUACGAGAAUAAAUCCUAAGAGUUAUCAUCGUAAGGAGAAUUUCUUCUCCUUUUUCUUUUUCUUUCUUUAUUGUAUUUACAUGAGAAGCUAAACCUAUCACAGCAACCAUUUCACCAGGUCAAACCAUCAUGCUGUAGACCUUAGGCGGUGACCGAGGUCAAUCAUUUUGCCUCUCAGGUUGCCGAGGGAAGGCAUAGCUACCACGCACCCCACCAGUCCGUUCACCCCGCCAGGCGCCGUGGCCACGAGAAGCCUGGGCACAGUAUAGCUCUCGAGGACCCCACAGGCACACGUGGUCGUGUUUGUUGGAAGAGCUCAGGCUCUCAAGACCUUCCCCCAUUCUAAAGGUUCUGGAAAAGCCUAAGGAUGUCAUGUGCCCUUGGACGGAGGUGUGCGUGAAGACUUUGUUUUGUCAUCUGUAAGUUGGAGUGAGGCAGCCGGGCUGAGGCCAGGAGUGAGGAGGCCUGGACACUCCUGCUUGCCCUGUGAGGAUUUAUUCGGCCAGGGCCGGCACGUCGUACACAUCUACUGGGGACAGCGCCUUUCCUGGGUGCUUGCGGUUUACAGAAAGAUCAGGGGUGAGAGUCCUAGAACGGGCCAGAGCAGAACUGUGGUCUGAAGGCCACGGCCAUUCCAGUGCACGCACUCCGCCUUCCAGCUCUCCGUUUACUGAUUAGUAGGACAAGACCUACACUUGGGUAUGCUGCCACCAAGUGAUAGUUGAUGCUUCUGUCAUUCGCCUGGGCUCAAAGAUGACUCUCACCAGGGGAAAAAAAAAUAGGCUUUCUCUUAUCAAAACUAUAGCUUUAAACAACGUCCAUGAACGUUAUACUUCAUUAUAGAAAAUUCAUCGAGGGCAAGCUUAAAAAUAAAUACUUAUAUACACAAAUAAAUAAAUAAAAUACUUAGGUACAGCUCUGGCCAGUGCUUCAUGACUAGCAAUUUAAGUAAGGCAGGAUCUUUUCCCCCGGCUUGCUGUUGUUCCAGGAUAAAAAGAGUUCUGUUACUUUUCUUUUAUGAUUCUAAAGGUGAUACACGAAAUGUAUUGCCGACUCAGAAAGGGUGCACCUCUUACAAUUAAAAUAAUACCAAAAAUUUCCUCCCCAGACAUUGGGUAAACACGUGUGCCUUUUUAAAAGGCAUCUAGAGCUCCAUCCUCAAGUUCUAAUCCAUUUACUGGGCCUCAAGAAACUCUCCCUCCAACAGCAGGUUUCACAGUUGUUAAGAUUUGGUAUUUCAGUUUCCCGAUUCUCUCUUGUGAAUAUAUAUAUAUUCACAGUUUUAUAUAUAGCGACAGCUAUAUAGAUCUUUCCAGUUUUCUUCCAAAGGUAUUCCCUAAAGAUUUGACUUUCUUAAGAACACCCUUUCUUCCUUUCGAUCAGGCAAAUAAAAAUACCGCCUGUCACUCUCGAGGCUCCUGACCUUGUCUUUAAAACCCGCUCUGCCCCUCCUCUCUACCCUCCCGUCUAGAUCUCUAGCUACAGGUGAUUGUUAUUUUUCUAAGAUUUAUUAUUUAUUCCAGAGAGAGAGCGCGAGUGAGUGUGCAUGUGCAGAAUCUCAAGCAGACUCCAUGCUGAGAUCGGGACAGGAACCCAAACCAAGAAUGCAAUGCUUAACCCACUGAGCCCCCCAGGUGCCUCCCUAGGCAAUUAUUAUUCAAAAGUUAAAUAUAGGACUGCCUGGGUGGCUCAGUGGGUUAAGCAUCUGCCUUUGGCUCAGGUCAUGAUCCCGGGGUCUGGGGAUGGAGUCCUGCAUCGGGCUCUCUGCUCAGCGGGGAAUCUGUUUCUUCCUCUGACCUCUCCCCUCUCCUGCUCGCUCUCUCUCUCUCUCUCAAAAAAAUAAAUCAAAGUAAAAUCUUUCUUUUUUUUAAGAAAAAUCUUAAAAAAAAAGUUAAAUUCAGUUACAUCCUGGACCACUAUUUCACAGAGCCUUCAGGUUUUUGUUUUUAAAGAUUUAUUUAUUUGACAGAAAGAGAGAUCACAAGUAGGCAGAGCAACAGGCAGGCUGGGGGGUGGGGUGGGGUGGGUGGAGCAGGCUCCCUGCUGAGCAGAGCGCCUGAUGGGCUUGAUCCCAGAACCCUGGGAUCAUGACCUGAGUCAAAGGCAGAGGUUUAACCCACUGAGCCAUCUAGGUGCCUGUUUUUUUUUGUUUUUUUUGUUUUGUUUUUUUUUGCUUUUUUAAUUGCUAUCCAUUAUAAUCCUACCCUGUGGCCUGUGAGAGGCUACAACAGCUUGCACAGAGCAGGGCUUUGAUCCUGACAUUUAAACAAGGGUUUGGAUACUAGAGGUGGUCAUAAAGUAAAUCAAUCCAGGUGUGCUUAAGGUAAUUUUUUUUUAAGAUUUAUUUAUUUAUUUGACAGACAGACAGAGGCUUUAAUCCACUGAGCCACCCAGGCGCCCCUUAAGGUAAUUUUUAAGUUUCCCUCAAACCCACUCGAGAGUUAACAGUUGAAUGGCAGUGAUUUUCAAACUUCCAUGACUAGGACUCUCACUCAAAGAGAUGUACGUACUCUCACGUACAUAUAAAUAUCCGGAUUUUUCAACAAAUGUGACUUACCUUUACUCCAUGGGCAAAGGCAGCGAUAUGGUCUAGUCGGUUCAUUCCACGUAAUUUUUUUUAAAGAUUUUAUUUAUUUAUUUGACAGACACAGAUCACAAGUAGGCAGAGAGGCAGGCAGAGAGAGAGAGAGCAGGAAGCAGGCUCCCAGCUGAGCAGAGAGCCUGACACUGGGGCUCAAUCCCAGAAUCCCGAGACCAUGACCCGAGCCAAAGGCAGAGGCUUUAACCCACUGAGCCACCCAGGUGCCCCCCCCACAUAAUUUUUUUGCUAAUGCUGCUGAGUUGAACCAUACAAAACUGACAUCUUUGUAGUCAAAACAGUCAGAUCUGAGUGAUUUCCUAUGGUUCAACGAAUUUGUGAUCCUAAAGUAGUUUCUCAUUCUGCUUAAUGGGCUGCACCCCAUAAGAAAACACUGUUUUGUGAGUCAUUGUUAUUACUGUUAUUUUUUAAAUUAAAAUAGGAUUGAAAAUGGA
Molecule: long non-coding RNA, 4792 nt
Organism: Mustela lutreola (European mink)
Lineage: Eukaryota; Metazoa; Chordata; Mammalia; Carnivora; Mustelidae
Exons: 2
Source: RefSeq, a predicted model, not a curated record